CCUACGGGAGGCAGCAGUAAGGAAUAUUGGUCAAUGGGCGAAAGCCUGAACCAGCCACGCCGCGUGAAGGAAGACGGCCCUACGGGUUGUAAACUUCUUUUCUACGGGAAUAAACCUCAGGACGUGUCCUGAGCUGAAGGUACCGUAGGAAUAAGGAUCGGCUAACUCCGUGCCAGCAGCCGCGGUAAUACGGAGGAUCCAAGCGUUAUCCGGAUUUAUUGGGUUUAAAGGGUGCGUAGGUGGGAGAAUAAGUCAGAGGUGAAAGCUAGCAGCUUAACUGUUAAAUUGCCUUUGAUACUGCUUUCCUUGAGUCUAGUUGGCGUUGGCGGAAUGUGACAUGUAGCGGUGAAAUGCGUAGAUAUGUCACAGAACACCGAUCGCGAAGGCAGCUAGCGAAGCUAGUACUGACACUGAUGCACGAAAGCGUGGGGAGCAAACAGGAUUAGAUACCCUGGUAGUCCACGCCGUAAACGAUGAUAACUCGACGUUGGCAAUAUACUGUUCUAGCGUCCACGACGAAGACGUUAAGUUAUACCACCGUCGGGUAGGUACGAUCGCGAGGUUAGUAACGUACGAAGGAAGUUAGACGGCGUGAGACGUGCCGACGGACGACCGACGACGGGAGGUUAGG
This 631-nucleotide ribosomal RNA is filed under the name uncultured bacterium. RNAcentral's name for it is "bacterial SSU rRNA". The stretch from base 1 to 539 matches the Rfam family "Bacterial small subunit ribosomal RNA", at positions 338 to 873 of the family's 1533-position model. The record is from RNAcentral.